This is a long non-coding RNA of Panicum virgatum (switchgrass), 4260 nucleotides long. RefSeq lists it as uncharacterized. The record is from RefSeq and is a predicted model, not a curated record. The transcript is spliced from 10 exons. NCBI's taxonomy places the organism in Eukaryota, Viridiplantae, Streptophyta, Magnoliopsida, Poales, Poaceae.
GUUCCGGAGAGCUGUCCUCCGAGAGAAGCCGUCCUCGUCCCCAACUGCUCUCCGAUCUUCACCUUCCUCCUUCCCAGAUAUCUGUUGCUAACACUAUCUCUCCUUUCCCUGCUCCAGAACGGCAGCCAAAACAGACCGAGACUGCAGUUCCCUCCGGCCGGCCGCUCCAGCAGACCUGCGCGCCGUUCCUGCCCCCUGCUGCCGGCAGCUGCAGCUGCUCCCUGCGCGCCGCUCCUGCUGCUCCCUUCCCUUCGCUUGCUGCUACCCCACCCUGGUCCAGGCGCAUGCCGGCGCCCACUCGUGGCUGGAGAUGGAGGAACCUCCUCCGCGGUUCUUCAGGGAGACGGAUUGACGGGGGAUCAAUGGACCCGCAUUGGUCAAAUGAUUGUGACAACAACGUGUGUGAAGUGUGCGGAAAUAUUAGUUACAAACGGUCUUCUGAUCUGCGGAAAUAUUGGUUACAAACGUCUUCUGCUCUGUUGAGAUUGCAAGUUACCAUGUCCUUUUGUCUAUAUGAAUGUUCAUUUGAGGAGCGAACCUAUCUUGUGCCAAUUUAUGUUUAGCUGGGAGACCAAUUUCGUUACAAUGAUGAUGGUGAGUUCCAUCUUAAGACUUCAUGAUUUCUUUGCUGGCGGCCAUUUCUUUGUUUUCGUGCCUCUUUGAUGCAACACAGCAUGGCCAGCAGCUGCACCGCUGCAACUCCAUCCCUUGCUGCCUACAAGUGCAACACAGAAUGGAUAAGUUCACAUCUUGCCUGAUCUUUGCAGAAGGCACCGGUAGGACAAGCCUAACAUGUAGCUCAGGUGUCCAUCCCCAUCUUUCUGCUUCAGUUCUGAUGCAGUGGUGCACACCACCUGCUUGUUGUAUUGUCUGGACAAAGGAUUGCGUGCAUAUUUUCUUUGUUUAACUUCUUUUCUCAUGUUAACUUAAUCGUCAAUGUGUUUAUGUGGCAGUUGAUCUGAGGAUUCCUGAUAUGUUUCCUUGAUGUAGCUGCGUUCAGGCUGUUACCUUCCAGUUAUCUGGUAAUGUUUGCUUCUACAGAUUUGUAUGAACUGUAACACUGAAAUGGAGAUAUUUGUGUUUUGUGAACAUUUGCUUGCCUUUGUUUCCUUUCCUUAACUGGGAAUCGAUAUUCUGAUAAGUUCUUUACUAGCUUACCUUGUGUAAUUUGUUAAAAAAUAUAUAUUUAUGAAACCUAGCUCAGCUCUCUUACAUUAUUCAUUUACUGGGAAGUAACAAGAUUGGUUUUGGAUACGACCGAAUUACCAUGGGCUUGUUGUGUAAUGAUACUUGCUUAUUAUUUUUUCCACUUUUGUGGACACCUUCCUGCUACUUGCCACUUUGUUGAUACGACUUUGGAUUAUUGGCAGAUUAGCACCACGUGCACAGGCUUUUUAUGUUCCUCAGGAUGAUAUGAUCUGCGCCUCAACAAAAACAAGUUGGUAAUUCAUUCUUUCCAGUUGUUUGGUCAGUGCUGCUUAGUUUCAGGUUUGUGCAGUAGCAAAUAUAUUGCUAUGUUCUGCUCAGGCAAGUAAAUAUUGGAUGCCAUAGCCGCCGCUUUUCCGGAACUAACUUUUAUCCUUGGCUGAAGGGAAAGUGAAAAAUGAAAGUACCAUAGCAAUUUUUUUUAUGCUUGGAAUAUGGAACCACCGAACCAGCUGAUGAUUUAAGUUACAAACAGUAUCUGCAGAAACCAUGUUCCACAUGGGCUGAAGUGGAGCAGUCCAUUGCAUCAGAGGUAUUUAACGGCCUCCAUGUUUAGUUCACUAACUUAGGCUAUUACUUGCUGUCUGAUGAUGCCCUGAGUUGAAUAGUGCCCUGUUCUCCUUGUGUUGAAUAGUGCACUGUGUUUAUAGAAUCUUUACUGACUGUUCGUACUAUGGUUUCUUUCCCCUUUGACUUUUUCUUUGUGUUUUCUUAUUACUUUCCCAUAUAUUCAUCUUCAUGAUGGAUCAAGCGAAGUUUUUUAUACCCAGUUAAGAGAAUUUGAGAUAUUGGUUUCCUGAAUUUGAAAUUCCAGUCUGCCCACUUCUAAAGUGCCCAGUAAAGCAAAACUGAGGCUAAUAAGUAUUGCUAACUGACAUCAUGUAUAGGGUGCUAAUGCUGUUUCUCUUUGAAGCGGUAGAGGUUCAGAGUGCCCAAUUCAAUACUAGCUGUAUAUGAUCCUCUCAUGCUUUUGGCGGACAAUGUGUAAUCAAAUCAUGAUCUCAUCUGCUCACUAUUGGUUUGUGGGUCACUGAUGCUAAGAUUACUCUUUUCACACCAUUUGUUGGGUAGCAAGGAAAUUUGUUAAAUUCUGGUCUGUUGUUACUCCCAGGAGGGAACGCGCGUGGGACUCAGUUCCAGCAGCUUAGCGCCAGUCGCCAGUGGUACCAUCGCAUCAUGUGCCAGUAAUGUUACUCCAACACCAAAUCUCACAGGGGUCCUACCAAAAUAAGUAUUCACUGGUGAUUUGUGCCAAUUUGUGUUUAGCUGGGAGAGCAAUUUCGUUACAAUGAAGAUGGUGAGCCUUCUAGCACUGCUGGGAAGCCAAAUUACUCUUCCAUCAUUUCCUCCGGCGUUGAUAUGGUCAUGGUGGUUGCAAUUAGGUUUUAUACUGCAAUAUCAACAUUUCUGGAGGAACCGAGGAUCCUGAUGAUUUGCUAUUUCUGGAAAAAAAAACGAGGAUCCUAAUAAUUUGCUGGUUUCUCUUCGUAGGAAAUUGAUGAUUAAAUAUCACGCCACAUUUCACAUCUAGAACUACCAAGAGGUGCCUUAAAAUUUCAGGGACAUGUUAUAUAUGGUGGGAAUUACAAGUUCUGAAAUAGAGACCUUUUAGAUAUUGCAAGAUAUUGCUUUAUCGACACCUACUGCGCAUGGAGUUCAGCAAAAUGGAAAUACAAUAUGUGCAUUGGAGGCGGUGCAGCAGAUCUGAAGCCGACAAAAGGGCGGCCGGCCCCUGCUUUCCCCCAAUCGAAGCGUCCGACCAAGCCGAUUCGCCCCUCAGGCUGAGGAAGUUCCACAGCUCCCCACCCUGUCAAUUCGUCGGAAGGAGCAGCUUAGAAACUGUCGCUGAAGAGUCCACCUUGCUGCAGCAGACCACCAGCAAGGUUGCAAAUUAUGCUGGCUUGGUCCCUGUGGCUGCAUAUGCAUCUCCUACAUUAAAUUCUCCAACCGGAACUACUUGGUCAAAUCAUCAUCUGACAGGUGCAUCUUCACGGCACCUUGUUACCAGGUCAGUGAAACACAUUCGGUGAGCGGAGCAGGUGAAAUAUCAGUUGAUAUCGGUGCUGAAGCAAUUUUGCAAAUCCCUUCUGAACCAGCAGCAGAUGCAGAAUUAUCACUUGACCUACCUACUGAAACCAGCAUCCAGCUAGACUCCUUUAAACUUAACAUCCCUGUAGUGGAUGCCCUAUUAUCCUUGGCUCUCCAAAUUGCACUUGGGAAUAUAAAGAUGGAUCCACAACAUGUGUUCAUAGCUUUUGUCCUGGCCACUCUAGCAUCAGUCAUCCGGAGAAGGUUUAUUUCAUUUUCAUUCAUUGUGACCUGAAGCUACCUCACAUUCCAGCAUGGAUUGUAGCCCCUCACAUCUACAUCAAUCGCCCACACUCCCUGAGCUUGUACCCACUACAAUGGCUAUUCCUAACUCUUAGCAGCAACAUAAAGCUCUGCAUCACAUCCGGCAUGCUAAUUUGGACAAUAAACUUUGUCGGUUGUUUACCCAAUACAGGAAAAAUUAUAAAGGUCCGAGCAACCACCAACUUCUUGCUUCAGAUGCUCUUGCCAGUUCUCCUUACGGUGGCAAGCAUAAUCGAGGCUGCCUGGUUCCUGUUUGAAUACUACCUGAGAGCUGCCUACAAUUAUCUUAGAACAUCCUUUGUGCAUCGUUAGCUCAUUUGCACCUGUUUAAGUCUUCAGCUGAUGCCUUCUGCCGGAAAAUCUCUAUCAUCCUUUUGCCAUAAAGCCAUCUAUCCAUGUGUCGUUUAGCCUCAUCGCCAGCACCCUUAAUGAAGCCACAGACCGCAUUCCAUCGUCAGCAUCCAGAGUCCAGACGAUGUCCUCCUGAUGAGAUUCCUCCUUCCAUCCAGUGCAUCUAUACUACCAGCGUCUUAACUGUUAGAUGUAAUGCUUUGUUAAUUAGUAAUCACUCUGUCCUACUCCCGCUCCUAGGCUGGCCUUGUGGAGAUCAAACUGUGUACGAAGCACUACUUUCCCAAAUAUUAAUGUGCGAACCUCUUACAUCGUCACCAAAGUAGUUAUUUGUGAUUAUGAUGCCUUUCA